This 546-nucleotide long non-coding RNA is filed under the name Numida meleagris (helmeted guineafowl). RNAcentral describes it as "lncRNA (ENSNMEG00000002837.1)". The record is from RNAcentral. Lineage: Eukaryota; Metazoa; Chordata; Aves; Galliformes; Numididae.
CCAAUGGUCGCUUGGUUUGGUUUGUCUGGUUCAGUGGUUGGCAGUGGUUGGAGGUCAGUUGGCAUGUUGCAAGCGGGGCCGCAUUAAUGCUGCUUUAUUGUCACUCCAACCAACAACAACCAAAGAGCAACACCACCACCACCACCACCGCCAACAGGCAAACUCCCAGCCCAGCAGUGCCACCCGGGGGAGGAGGAGGAGGAGCGGGUGUUGCGUGUGUGUGUUGUGUUGCGUUGUGUGUGCGUGUGCCUGUUGUCAUGCCGGUGGUCACUCGCUCGGUUCGGCUGGUUCGGUGGUUGGAGGUCGGUCGGUUGUUGCCGCCGCCUGUUGCGAGCGGGGCCGCGUUAACGCUGUUCUAUUGUCACUCCAACCAACAACAACCAAAGAGCAACACCACCACCACCGCCAACAGGCGAACUCCCAGCCCGGCAGUGCCACCCAGGGGAGGAGGAGGAGGAGGAGCAGUGGGUGUUGUGUGUGUGUUGUGUGUUGUGUUGUGUGUGUGUGUGUGCCUGUUGUGCCGUUGGUUGGCACUCCGGUUCGGUU